GGGUGUGUAGCUCAGCGGAAGAGCGCUUCCCUCACACGGAAGAGGCCACAGGUUCGAUCCCUGUCACACCCACCA
RNAcentral lists this transfer RNA (75 nucleotides) under Mesoaciditoga lauensis. RNAcentral describes it as "tRNA-Val". It matches the Rfam family "tRNA". From Rfam's summary of the family: Transfer RNA (tRNA) molecules are approximately 80 nucleotides in length. Their secondary structure includes four short double-helical elements and three loops (D, anti-codon, and T loops). Lineage: Bacteria; Thermotogati; Thermotogota; Thermotogae; Mesoaciditogales; Mesoaciditogaceae. The record is from RNAcentral.